UUUUUAGUAUAAGUAUGUUCUAUGUGAUGUUUGGGACAUAUUUAUGCUAAAU
Molecule: microRNA precursor, 52 nt
Filed under: Tupaia belangeri chinensis (Chinese tree shrew)
Lineage: Eukaryota; Metazoa; Chordata; Mammalia; Scandentia; Tupaiidae
Description: Tupaia chinensis (Chinese tree shrew) mir-1302 microRNA precursor family
Rfam family: mir-1302 microRNA precursor family
Source: Rfam by way of RNAcentral